UACGUAGGGUGCAGGCGUUAAUCGGAAUUACUGGGCGUAAAGCGUGCGCAGGCGGUGAUGUAAGACAGAUGUGAAAUCCCCGGGCUCAACCUGGGAACUGCAUUUGUGACUGCAUCGCUGGAGUGCGGCAGAGGGGGAUGGAAUUCCGCGUGUAGCAGUGGAAUGCGUAGAUAUGCGGAGGAACACCGAUGGCGAAGGCAAUCCCCUGGGCCUGCACUGACGCUCAUGCACGAAAGCGUGGGGAGCAAACAGG
RNAcentral lists this ribosomal RNA (253 nucleotides) under uncultured bacterium. RNAcentral describes it as "partial 16S ribosomal RNA". It matches the Rfam family "Bacterial small subunit ribosomal RNA", at positions 524 to 776 of the family's 1533-position model. The record is from RNAcentral.